CCCCUCUCAGGGUCGCACCUGGAGAGUUCCCAGUAUUCUGCCAGUCUCGACUACGGGAAGGAGAGUCAGGCAGAGGCAUAUCCAUUCCAUUCCUAGCUUGGCCAGUGGCUAGUGAAUGGAAGACAAUUGCUACAGGU
RNAcentral lists this small nucleolar RNA (137 nucleotides) under Ornithorhynchus anatinus (platypus). The record is from RNAcentral. Lineage: Eukaryota; Metazoa; Chordata; Mammalia; Monotremata; Ornithorhynchidae.